RNAcentral lists this ribosomal RNA (256 nucleotides) under uncultured bacterium. Its description in RNAcentral is "partial 16S ribosomal RNA". It matches the Rfam family "Bacterial small subunit ribosomal RNA", at positions 524 to 776 of the family's 1533-position model. The record is from RNAcentral.
UACGAAGGGGGGCUAGCGUUGCUCGGAAUCACUGGGCGUAAAAGGGUGCGUAGGCGGGUCUUUUAAGUCAGGGGUGAAAUCCUGGAGCUCAACUCCAGAACUGCCUUUGAUACUGAGGAUCUUGAGUUCGGGAGAGGUGAGUGGAACUGCGAGUGUAGAGGUGAAAUUCGUAGAUAUUCGCAAGAACACCAGUGGCGAAGGCGGCUCACUGGCCCGAUACUGACGCUGAUGCACGAAAGCGUGGGGAGCAAACAGG